RNAcentral lists this transfer RNA (124 nucleotides) under Brachythemis contaminata. RNAcentral's name for it is "partial contains 16S ribosomal RNA and tRNA-Leu". Lineage: Eukaryota; Metazoa; Arthropoda; Insecta; Odonata; Libellulidae. The record is from RNAcentral.
AUUUUUAGUACGAAAGGACCAAAAUUAUGAAAUAAUUUUUUUUAUUGAAUAUUAUUAACUAUUUUGGCAGAUAAGUGCCAUGGGUUUAGAAUUCAUAAAUGUAAGAAUAUCUUACAAAUAGUAC